Molecule: ribosomal RNA, 403 nt
Filed under: uncultured bacterium
Lineage: Bacteria
Description: bacterial SSU rRNA
Rfam family: Bacterial small subunit ribosomal RNA
Source: RNAcentral
UGGGGAAUAUUGGGCAAUGGGCGAAAGCCUGACCCAGCAACGCCGCGUGAAGGAAGAAGGUUUUCGGAUCGUAAACUUCUAUCCUUGGUGAAGAUAAUGACGGUAGCCAAGAAGGAAGCCCCGGCUAACUACGUGCCAGCAGCCGCGGUAAUACGUAGGGGGCAAGCGUUGUCCGGAAUGAUUGGGCGUAAAGGGCGCGUAGGCGGCCUGGUAAGUCUGGAGUGAAAGUCCUGCUUUUAAGGUGGGAAUUGCUUUGGAUACUGCUGGGCUUGAGUGCAGGAGAGGUAAGUGGAAUUCCCGGUGUAGCGGUGAAAUGCGUAGAGAUCGGGAGGAACACCAGUAGCGAAGGCGACUUACUGGACUGUAACUGACGCUGAGGCGCGAAAGUGUGGGGAGCAAACAG